AAGUGUCUUGGUUCACAGCAAAGAGGACAAAGAAAACAGCAAGUUUUAGGGGGUUGAAUCCUGGAUUCCCCUGGCAAACACCAUUCUACUUUCCGUCUCUAUGAAUUUGACUACUCGAAGUACCUCAUGUGAAAUGUUGGUGCCAAAUGAACUUUUCUGGUUCUUCUGAAUAUGCCACUGUUGCUGGAGAAAUGUCACUGCUAGAGAACAGAAGACUAUUAUUCCAAAGGGUAUUUGAGACUGACUGAAUCAGGUCUGGAACAUUAUUGAAAUGAGACCCACAAAAGAAGAGAUACUGAGAUCAUUUGCUCCAGAAGAAGCUGGUUGCCAUGUCUUGAGGACAGUAAACCCUCUGGGGAGGUUCCUGUGGUAAGGAACAAGGGCUCCUGGCAAUAGCCUCUGAGUGAGCCACCUUGAAAAUGGAUUGUCCAGCCCCAGUCAAGCUUUCAGAUGACUGUAGCUCCUGCCAAUGUCUUCACCACAACCUCAUGAGAUCCCAAGCUACAACCACUCAGAACUUCAUCUUUUGGGAAGCACCAGGGAGAGCUGCCUGUGCCUGGCAGAAGCUGCCCAUGCCCCACUGAUACCCCACAGUACUUCCUGUUCUGCUUAGUACUCCUGCUUCUUUCUACAAACAACUGUGAUUCUCUACCUGGGAGCUUCCUCUGGCCACAGGAGCCUGCUCACCUGAUUGGGACACCCUAGCAGUACUGGUGAGUUAUAGCUUCCAGGAGCAGCUCUCUUCCAGCAAAGGAAAGGGUUGGCUGAACAGUACUUCAGCUGCCUCUGCUAGUGUGUGGGGCAAUGUUAAGACAUGCUCCACACAGUAAUGCAGGGGUCCCAGCAAGGUGGAGCCCCACUUGUCCACAGUAGUAACUUGCCAGUAGAUGCCUGCAUUGACUUUCUUCCCUGCUGUGCCUUUCUUUCCAUUCCCCUGCCAGUGCUUCCUGGAAUCAUCUCCCUCAUCAAUCAUUUGUUCCUAAAUUCUGUCUGAGUCUGUUUCUGAGGAAACCCAACCUGAGUCAUCGUCCCUCUUCUCCCCUCCUCACAUUCUCUUCACUGGGGGAGGAUGGAUUGAGUUGACUGGCAAAUUCGGGAGAAGGAGUUUGCAUCGGAGUGCGUGACUCAGCUGAGGCUGGGCUCUGUUUCUUCAGAAUGAAGUGCAUUCAGAUUCGAUGUGUAUCCUGUCUCUGGGAAGCCCCAUGCUCUGCUCAUCUUAGCAUGAUUACUAAGGUACACUCUGCCCUUGCAAGGGGAAGGCCCGAGAUUUGCUGCUGGCAGGCUCAGUGGGAGUUGGAUGUUUUAUGUAACCUGAUUGUGGAUAUAGAUCAAUUCAUGCUUUUCAAUUCAGUCCUCUCUCUAAUAAACUGCUGUCAUAAG
Molecule: long non-coding RNA, 1380 nt
Filed under: Homo sapiens (human)
Lineage: Eukaryota; Metazoa; Chordata; Mammalia; Primates; Hominidae
Description: STXBP5 antisense RNA 1
Source: RNAcentral